Molecule: ribosomal RNA, 319 nt
Filed under: Rhizobium sp.
Lineage: Bacteria; Pseudomonadati; Pseudomonadota; Alphaproteobacteria; Hyphomicrobiales; Rhizobiaceae
Description: bacterial SSU rRNA
Rfam family: Bacterial small subunit ribosomal RNA
Source: RNAcentral
UUGGCCCGCGUUGGAUUAGCUAGUUGGUGGGGUAAAGGCCUACCAAGGCGACGAUCCAUAGCUGGUCUGAGAGGAUGAUCAGCCACAUUGGGACUGAGACACGGCCCAAACUCCUACGGGAGGCAGCAGUGGGGAAUAUUGGACAAUGGGCGCAAGCCUGAUCCAGCCAUGCCGCGUGAGUGAUGAAGGCCUUAGGGUUGUAAAGCUCUUUCACCGGAGAAGAUAAUGACGGUAUCCGGAGAAGAAGCCCCGGCUAACUUCGUGCCAGCAGCCGCGGUAAUACGAAGGGGGCUAGCGUUGUUCGGAAUUACUGGGCGUA